RNAcentral lists this long non-coding RNA (2008 nucleotides) under Camelus dromedarius (Arabian camel). RNAcentral describes it as "lncRNA (ENSCDRG00005016945.1)". The record is from RNAcentral. Lineage: Eukaryota; Metazoa; Chordata; Mammalia; Artiodactyla; Camelidae.
AAUUUAUCUUGCUUUAUUUACUGCACCCUGAACACCUUUGAGGGUUUAUAAUUUCUGGGGAUACCCUGGACAGCCUGAGUGAAGUGUCUGCCAAAAAUCACAUCGGCCGAGUGCCCUGUUAUUUUUUUCCACUGCUGUUUUUAAAAAGUGCCAUCGGGGAGGCUUAACUACAACAAUCCUCUUUCAGUGUUGUCAAUUUUCCAUGAGUUCAGGCAGGUCACAGUACAGAUCUCAGAUACACAGAAAAUUGUAGUGGAAACCAGGUUAAAAGGAAAGGCAAUGUUGUAUAUACUUAAUAUCAUAGAAAUCAAGUACAAAGGACAGACCGCUGAAUUGUAGAGUAGAAUCAAGUUACCCAUCUUAACUGGAAACAGAAUUCAAAUUACCUUGUGCCUGGUGACUGGAGAGGAAUGAGGAGGCCUUAAAAAUAGACACCACUGUUUUUGGCCUUUGUUUAAAAUAGUAAUUCCCAAGACAAAAUUUCUCUUACUGUCUUUAACAGGCCUGGAUCAAACGAAGCAAAUCUGUCCAGUUAAGGAAAAUCUUUAGGGAAAACCUAAUUCCUUUGUUUUCUCAGCAAAGACUUUGGAUAAGAGUCUACGUUGACUUUAGCCCGUGCAUUUGGAGAACUGAACGACGCAUUUACUGGGAGCCAGCAAGAGUUUCCUCACAUGAUCUAAGCUGUGGAAUUCCUUUGUUUCAUGCCUCUCAGAUAGAAGAAUAACAAGCAUUGUACUGUCCACAAAUUCACUGACCAUUCAGUCUCCAUUUUAACAUACUGCAUGUACUGUGUGUUGUGGGCGGAGGAGGGGGGAGAAGGGGGGGGAGAAAGGAGGAAACUGUGUGUAUAUGGUUACUAUUAAUUACCUGGCUAAUGUGUAUUAUUAUGAACAAAUUAGAAAAUUAGAACUGGGUUACCUGAAAAUUAUUAAAUAUAUUAGCCUUAAUGGACUAAUCAUAUCAAAAGGCGGAUACUAACUACUGUAUAUGAAAUAGAUAAACGACAAGGUCCUACAGUAGAGCACAGGGAACUACAUUCAGUAUCCCGUAGUGACCUAUGAAAAGGAAUACAUGUAUGUGUACAUAUGACUGAAACAUUAUGCUGUACACCAGAAAUUGCCACAACAUUGCAAACUCAUGAUACUUAGUUAAAAAAGGCAGUCUCUUUCCACGAAAUAAUUUCCCUCCCGUACUUCUCCCUACAAUAUUCCUAUAUUCAUCACAGCACAGACUUACAACUGCCCUGCAGUCUCUGUUGUUCCUGCUUUGAACAGAAUGAUUAGGAAAUGGCCAAGGGAAAUAUGACUCAACGUGGAGUUAUUAGGGCCCAAAGAAGCUUUAAUCUAUCGAGGCUAAUAAAAACAUGGAUUCUUCUUUUUUUUUUUUUUNUUUUCUGUAUGACAUAAGAUCCUCCUAUUGUAAUAAAAAAUGGAACAUCAAAAAACGGUGACAUGAAGCCAAAGGGGAUAUGAAAAAAUGAAGAAAAAUACACUUUAUUGUAUUCCAUGCUGAUACCCAUAUUAAUUCGCUCUACCUCCAAAGCCCGCUCCUUAGUCACCCUCUUCAAGUGCUAAUUUUCAGGCAGCCACCUGAGCCCACGUUACCGUCCCUGGACUAGGAGACCUUUGUUUCAUCCCUAGCUCUAAAGCUUUGUGGCCAAAGGAAGUUUAUUUAUGCCAUCUGUAAGAGAGGGAGCAAAGAACUGCUCUUUAUCUUGGGUUCCACAAGGCUACUCAGGAAAUUGAUGAAAAAUCUAUUUCAGUGGCUGCUGAGCUCUGAAUGUUGAACUCCUAAUGGCUGCUAAUGGGAGAUCUGAUUUCAGUCUUCCUGUGUCCCUUACCCUCAAGUGGUCAGCCAGUGUUGAAGAGGGUGAGGAAGGUGGGGGAGUUGUGAAUAAUGUUGCUGGGUGAACCCAGGGGUUGGGUCUGAUGAUGAGUCCUCGCUUGAAAAUGCCCGAGUCGGAAGAACCUACGAGCCACAGCACAGGAAGGCCCCAGAAGCUUCCUAG